Molecule: ribosomal RNA, 253 nt
Filed under: uncultured bacterium
Lineage: Bacteria
Description: partial 16S ribosomal RNA
Rfam family: Bacterial small subunit ribosomal RNA
Source: RNAcentral
UACAGAGGUCUCAAGCGUUGUUCGGAUUCAUUGGGCGUAAAGGGUGUGUAGGUGGCGCGCUAAGUCGGGUGUGAAAUUUCGGAGCUCAACCCUGGCAUGGCAUUGAAUACUGGAGGACUAGAGUACCGGAGAGGAAACUGGAAUUUACGGUGUAGCAGUGAAAUGCGUAGAGAUCGUAAGGAAGACCAGUGGCGAAGGCGGCUCUCUGGGACGGUACUGACGCUGAGACGCGAAAGCGUGGGGAGCGAACAGG